AAAUAUUCGUUGACCAAUGAAUGUUCACAAUACUACGCUGAGACGUGCAUAAGUUCUUACUCUUUCUACCACACUCACAAACUCUCGCACACACACUUCGCAUACUCUCCAAACAUUUGAAUAUUCUCUGUCAUUAACAUGCUCACGUCACUUUGUCACAAACGACAGAAAGCAAAUUAUACUCAGUAAAAAAAUCAGUCAAACUAAUUCCCUGAACAAAAAAAAUGAAUCGAAAAAUCUGGACUGCAGAAAAAAAGCAAAAUCUCUAAAUAAAUGUGAUUGGUAAAAUGAUUUAAUUGCAUUGGAUACAAGCAUACAUUGACAUACAUUUCCGUUUUGUUUCGUACAAAACGUUUUUUUGGAGACUGUGUAUGAAGUGACCAUCGAUUUGCACUCAUAAAAUCGCAGCGCUAAAUUCGACGCGUCAUUGUUGACAGUGUGCAUGUAUUCUUUUCAUCGACGACAAUUGUGGCGAACAAACGUUUAAUGAACACACCACUGUAUAGUAGCCAUUUUUUAUUUGCAAAACAACAAAGAACAUUUUGAUUCGACGUAAUUGGAAUUGGAUUUUCUUAUAGUGAACAAAUUUCAUUUUCGAUCACCAUCAAAGUAAAAAAUAGAUCGUUUUGUAAAACACCAUCGAAAGGCGUCAGAAAUCACUGGUUGAUAAUGCGAAAAUCUAAAAAGUGAGUCGAUCGAAAAAAUACUUAACGGUAAUGAUUUUCUCUCAACGAAAGCUCUUGAUACAUUAAAAAGAUAAACAUGAUUCUGCAGAAUCGUCGGAAAACAUGCUUGCCUUUUUGAAAGAAAAAAAAAUAAAUUUAAAAAGUUCACCCUUGUGUGAACUACUGAAUAUCAAAAAUCAAAGUAAAGUAGUGAGUACGCAAAAUACGCUUACGUACAUAGAUACUCCGUUGUUGACAUUGACAUUGACAUUCGUUUGCAUUUGUUCAGUUUGCAUGAUUUUGUAGGUCAAUUAUUUUUAAAGUGAGAACGAAAAAUGUUGUCAUUAGCGAUUUUAAAAAGACAACUGGUUGACAAGAAACUAUUUUCGAGAUUGAUUGUUCGCAACUUUGUAGUCGGCCGGAAUCUGAAUAAAAGCAAGUCACAAUUUAACUUAAAGCGUUUUGUCAAAGGAACAUUCCUUGGUGUCACUGCUGGAGCCAUUGCAUAUGACGGAUAUAAUGAGUUUCAGGUUUAUGGCGGAGUUUCACGAUUCUUACGCUCGUUAAAAAUUGCUGCAUUGAUUUCCAUUGACUAUUCUUGGCAUUUAUAUGGGUUAACUGAUGAAAGCGAGGAAUAUGAACAAAUUCUAAAGAAAAUACACUUGCGUAGUGCCAAUCGACUACUGAAUGGAUGUCUAGCAAACGGUGGGCUCUAUAUCAAAAUUGGGCAGGGGGUUUCUGCAAUUAAUCAUAUUUUGCCAUCCGAAUAUACGGACACGCUUAAGAAAUUGGAGGCAAGUGCAAUGAGAAUUAAAAUGAGAAUGCUCAUUAACCCUCGGACGGCCAAGCGGGGUCCGCACGGAUCCCAGCGUCCAAAAAUUCAAUUUUUUUUCUCAAGAAAUCAACAUUUCUCUUUAGAAUGUAAAAGGUUUAUAUAUUCUUGGCAUAAUACAGCAAGAAGUUUCAAAAUCUC
Sitodiplosis mosellana (orange wheat blossom midge) is the source of this 1638-nucleotide long non-coding RNA. RefSeq lists it as uncharacterized. The transcript has 2 exons. The record is from RefSeq and is a predicted model, not a curated record. NCBI's taxonomy places the organism in Eukaryota, Metazoa, Arthropoda, Insecta, Diptera, Cecidomyiidae.